AUGGAGAAAGAUUCACAGGAUUUUGGAAAGCAGUGGUACCUUUUGGACAAGCCAGUCUCUGGUGACAGAGAUCAUGGGUGGAAUGCUGCUACAAUGGCCCUGAAAGCUUCAUCUUCCUUUGGAGUGAAUCGGAGACAAGUUGAUGAAAAAGACUUUCAUUUGAAUGAGAGAUCAAUCACAGAGACUGAAAGUGACAGCCCUACCACAUUUGUUUGUGGACUUUGGAGACAGGCAGAAAGGAUAAGCAAUUGACAAGGAGGUAAGGAAAUCCGUAUCUGGGUUUGAUUCGGUUGUCUUGCAAGUGGAGUUGUAAACAAAUGUGGAAUUUAAAGGGGGAUUACAGUGUUUUGAUGUAUUCCAUUCUGCAUGUUCAAUAUCACUAUUUUCAUUCCAAGAGGGUAUAAUGUAU
RNAcentral lists this long non-coding RNA (409 nucleotides) under Numida meleagris (helmeted guineafowl). RNAcentral describes it as "lncRNA (ENSNMEG00000020668.1)". The record is from RNAcentral. Lineage: Eukaryota; Metazoa; Chordata; Aves; Galliformes; Numididae.